GAGGAGCACCUCGUUCGGUGCGCGGCAGCGGGGAGGGCGCCGCUGCGGGUGGCGGUGCUGCUGAGCGGCGGGGUCGACAGCAGCGUCGCGCUCCGCCUCCUCCACGCAGCCGGGCACAGCUGCACUGCCUUCUGCCUCAAGAUCUGGUUCCAGGAAGAUUUCAGGAACUUUUGGUCCGAGUGCCCGUGGGAUGACGAUUUGAAGUAUGCACAGGCUGUGUGUGACAAGAUUGACGUGCCAUUGGAGGUGGUACAUCUAUCUGAUGAGUACUGGAACCAUGUGGUGUCUCAUAUGAUUAAUGAGUACCGCAACGGGCGCACACCGAACCCUGGUGUUCUUUGCAACACAAGAAUAAAGUUUGGAGCUUUCUUAGAAGCAAUUGAAAAUUUGGGAUUUGAUUACAUAGCUUCAGGACAUUAUGCACAUGUAGUCCAUCCACACGUUGAGAACGCUAAAGAGCCAUCGGUGCUCCAACUUUUGAAAGGAAUAAUAGAACUCAAUUGACAUUUCCUCUCACAUCUCUCUCAGCCCCAGCUUAAAAGGCUUCUUUUUCCACUAGGGUGUAUAACAAAGGAUGAAGUUUGCAGUCUGGCUGUUCAGAUGGACCUUCCUAACCAAGCUAGAAAGGAUUCUCAGGGGAUAUGUUUUCUUGGAAAGGUCAAAUUCAGUGAGUUUGUUCAAAGACAUAUAGGAGAAAUGGAGGGUAUACUUCUUGAGGCUGAAACUGGAGAUUACCUAGGGAUGCACCGUGGGUUUUGGUUCUAUACGAUUGGUCAGCGACAAGGUUUGCGACUUUCUGGAGGACCUUGGUAUGUUGUGGAGAAAGAUGUGCAAAAUAAUGUGGUUUUUGUAUUAAGGAAUUACUAUUCGCUGGAUAAGAGGAGGCGAACAUUUCGUGUUAGAUCGCUGAACUGGUUUAGCGAUUCUGGGCCAGCGAUUACUGCGCGCCGCCACGAACGCCGCGACGAGGAAAUCUUUUAG
Molecule: ribosomal RNA, 981 nt
Filed under: Triticum aestivum (bread wheat)
Lineage: Eukaryota; Viridiplantae; Streptophyta; Magnoliopsida; Poales; Poaceae
Description: partial small subunit ribosomal RNA
Source: RNAcentral